AAUAAACACAACCAUGAGUUUCUGCGCCCAACUUUGAUCGUCUGUCUUAUUUAAAUUUUUUUUAUGAUUAGUAUUUUUAUUGUUAUGAGAUGAUAAAACAUGAAUAGUACUUUACUCGUGGCAUAUUUUUUUAGUUUUUUUUUAAAAAAUUAAAUAAGAUAAACGAUUAAAGUUGGACACGAAAAGUCAUGGCCGUUAGA
Oryza sativa Indica Group (long-grained rice) is the source of this 200-nucleotide microRNA precursor. It matches the Rfam family "MIR812 microRNA precursor family". NCBI's taxonomy places the organism in Eukaryota, Viridiplantae, Streptophyta, Magnoliopsida, Poales, Poaceae. The record is from Rfam.